GCCAUCACAGACACAUCUACGGAGGGCAGUGUCAGUGGUGGUGGUGACGGUGGUGGUGGUGUGUCUACUCUUUUGUAUUACUAUUCAGACUUGCUAUACAUCCAGACACACCCAUACAUGCUCAAAAAUACACUCAUAUAACCAAAACACACCUAGAAUCAGCUAUAAGUACAUCCAAACAGUCGUACAUACGUACAUACACACAAGUGAAGUGCAGUGUUACCAUAUUCUUGCCAAACUGGACCAGCAGGAAGGCCAAACCUGAAGACAAGGGUGAACCAGCCAAGUCAACACCGCAUUGACACAACGCUCGAUCCACAAUGCAAGCCUUACAUUCAUUUGUUUAAAAUGUGUAUAGGUGGGAGAAGUAGAAUACAGAAGAAAGGGGAAAC
Molecule: long non-coding RNA, 392 nt
Organism: Portunus trituberculatus (swimming crab)
Lineage: Eukaryota; Metazoa; Arthropoda; Malacostraca; Decapoda; Portunidae
Exons: 2
Source: RefSeq, a predicted model, not a curated record